GACGAACGCUGGCGGCGUGCUUAACACAUGCAAGUCGAACGGAAAGGCCCUGCUUUUGUGGGGUGCUCGAGUGGCGAACGGGUGAGUAACACGUGAGUAACCUGCCCUUGACUUUGGGAUAACUUCAGGAAACUGGGGCUAAUACCGGAUAGGAGCUCCUGCUGCAUGGUGGGGGUUGGAAAGUUUCGGCGGUUGGGGAUGGACUCGCGACUUAUCAGCUUGUUGGUGGGGUAGUGGCUUACCAAGGCUUUGACGGGUGGCCGGCCUGAGAGGGUGACCGGCCACAUUGGGACUGAGAUACGGCCCAGACUCCUACGGGAGGCAGCAGUGGGGAAUAUUGCACAAUGGGCGGAAGCCUGAUGCAGCAACGCCGCGUGCGGGAUGACGGCCUUCGGGUUGUAAACCGCUUUCGCCUGUGACGAAGCGUGAGUGACGGUAAUGGGUAAAGAAGCACCGGCUAACUACGUG
Molecule: ribosomal RNA, 468 nt
Filed under: uncultured bacterium
Lineage: Bacteria
Description: partial 16S ribosomal RNA
Rfam family: Bacterial small subunit ribosomal RNA
Source: RNAcentral